Molecule: ribosomal RNA, 279 nt
Filed under: Triticum aestivum (bread wheat)
Lineage: Eukaryota; Viridiplantae; Streptophyta; Magnoliopsida; Poales; Poaceae
Description: partial small subunit ribosomal RNA
Source: RNAcentral
AUGGCCAAAUAUUUCUGGAGCAGCUCUAUUGACAAAAAUGCGUUGCAUUGGGUUUCCUGGAAGAAUUUGGCUACACCAAAGUGCCAAGGUGGUAUGGGGUUUCGUGACCCUCAUCAGUUCAAUCUUGCACUGCUCGGGAAGCAUGGUUGGCGCUUUAUGACUAACCCUAAUUCUCUUUGCGCAAGAGUAAUGAAAGGCCGAUACUUUCCUGACACAGAUUUCUUGCAUGCUUCUGUUCCAAAGUCAGCGUCAGCGACUUGGCGAGCCAUCAUUGCUGGC